This 263-nucleotide ribosomal RNA is filed under the name uncultured prokaryote. RNAcentral describes it as "partial 16S ribosomal RNA". It matches the Rfam family "Bacterial small subunit ribosomal RNA", at positions 524 to 788 of the family's 1533-position model. The record is from RNAcentral.
UACGUAGGGGACGAGCGUUGUCCGGAAUUACUGGGCGUAAAGGGCGCGCAGGCUGUUAUGCGAGUCUGCUGUGAAAUGUAACGGCUCAACCGGUGCCUUGCGGCGGAUACUGCAUAGCUGGAGUACUGGAGAGGGAAGUGGAAUUCCCGGUGUAGCGGUGAAAUGCGUAGAUAUCGGGAGGACACCGGUGGCGAAGGCGGCUUUCUGGCAGUUACUGACGCUCAUGCGCGAAAGCUGGGGUAGCGAACCGGAUUAGAUACCCG